CAGUCGCCCGGGAAUACCAGCAGCCCAAGUGGUGGUCGCGAUUAUUGGGCCUAAAGCGCUCGUAGCCGGGCCGGUAAGUCCCUUGUGAAAUCGGACGGCCUAACCGUUCGGCGUGCAAGGGAUACUGUCGGUCUUGAGGCCGGGAGACGUCCGAGGUACUCCGGGGGUAGCGGUGAAAUGUUCUGAUCCUCGGGGGACCACCGGUGGCGAAGGCGUUCGACGAGAACGGGCCUGACGGUGAGGGGCGAAGGCUAGGGGAGCAAACGGGAUUAGAUACCCCCGUAGUCCCUGUCUCUUAUAC
RNAcentral lists this ribosomal RNA (301 nucleotides) under uncultured bacterium. Its description in RNAcentral is "partial 16S ribosomal RNA". It matches the Rfam family "Archaeal small subunit ribosomal RNA", at positions 459 to 760 of the family's 1478-position model. The record is from RNAcentral.